AUACGUAGGGUGCGAGCGUUGUCCGGAAUUACUGGGCGUAAAGAGCUCGUAGGUGGUUUGUCGCGUCGUCUGUGAAAUUCCGGGGCUUAACUCCGGGCGUGCAGGCGAUACGGGCAUAACUUGAGUACUGUAGGGGAGACUGGAAUUCCUGGUGUAGCGGUGAAAUGCGCAGAUAUCAGGAGGAACACCGGGGGCGAAGGCGGGUCGCUGGGCAGUAACUGACGCUGAGGAGCGAAAGCAUGGGUAGCGAACAGGAUUAGAUGCCCUGGUAGUCCAUGCUGUAAACGGUGGGCGCUAGGUGUAGGGGUCUUCCACGACUUCUGUGCCGUAGCUAACGCAUUAAGCGCCCCGCCUGGGGAGUACGGCCGCAAGGCUAAAACUCAAAGGAAUUGACGGGG
Molecule: ribosomal RNA, 398 nt
Filed under: uncultured bacterium
Lineage: Bacteria
Description: partial 16S ribosomal RNA
Rfam family: Bacterial small subunit ribosomal RNA
Source: RNAcentral